CGGCAUAUGACAGAUUUUAAAUACAUGUUUAAACGUUGUUUUCUGUCAGUUUCAUUAGAAUGGAGAUAACAAUAUUGUAUUUUAAGCUCCGAUGGCAUCAAUUUGGGAUUUGAUGGUCGCAAAUACCCGUUUACUGUCUCCGCUAACGUGUCGCCAGUAAACUUAAUUUGCGACCAUCAAAUCCCCAAUUGAUGCCGUCGGAGCUUAAAAUACAAUACAGUUAUCUCCUAAAU
Molecule: long non-coding RNA, 233 nt
Filed under: Mytilus galloprovincialis (Mediterranean mussel)
Lineage: Eukaryota; Metazoa; Mollusca; Bivalvia; Mytilida; Mytilidae
Source: RNAcentral